CACAUGCAAGUCGAACGGAGCUUAGAGAGCUUGCUUUUUAAGCUUAGUGGCGAACGGGUGAGUAACGCGUGAGUAACCUGCCCUAGAGUGGGGGACAACAGUUGGAAACGACUGCUAAUACCGCAUAAGCCCACGGUACCGCAUGGUACUGAGGGAAAAGGAUUUAUUCGCUUUAGGAUGGACUCGCGUCCAAUUAGCUAGUUGGUGAGGUAACGGCCCACCAAGGCGACGAUUGGUAGCCGGACUGAGAGGUUGAACGGCCACAUUGGGACUGAGACACGGCCCAGACUCCUACGGGAGGCAGCAGUGGGGGAUAUUGCACAAUGGGGGAAACCCUGAUGCAGCGACGCCGCGUGGAGGAAGAAGGUUUUCGGAUUGUAAACUCCUGUCGUUAGGGACGAUAAUGACGGUACCUAACAAGAAAGCACCGGCUAACUACGUGCCAGCAGCCGCGGUAAAACGUAGGGUGCAAGCGUUGUCCGGAAUUACUGGGUGUAAAGGGAGCGCAGGCGGGAAGACAAGUUGGAAGUGAAAACCAUGGGCUCAACCCAUGAAUUGCUUUCAAAACUGCUGGCCUUGAGUAGUGCAGAGGUAGGUGGAAUUCCCGGUGUAGCGGUGGAAUGCGUAGAUAUCGGGAGGAACACCAGUGGCGAAGGCGGUCUACUGGGCACCAACUGACGCUGAGGCUCGAAAGCAUGGGUAGCAAACAGGAUUAGAUACCCUGGUAGUCCAUGCCGUAAACGAUGAUUACUAGGUGUUGGGGGAUUGACCCCCUCAGUGCCGCAGUUAACACAAUAAGUAAUCCACCUGGGGAGUACGACCGCAAGG
This 828-nucleotide ribosomal RNA is filed under the name uncultured bacterium. RNAcentral's name for it is "bacterial SSU rRNA". It matches the Rfam family "Bacterial small subunit ribosomal RNA", at positions 52 to 893 of the family's 1533-position model. The record is from RNAcentral.